Molecule: long non-coding RNA, 391 nt
Filed under: Lathyrus oleraceus (garden pea)
Lineage: Eukaryota; Viridiplantae; Streptophyta; Magnoliopsida; Fabales; Fabaceae
Description: Pisum sativum (pea) long non-coding RNA (PSAT_LNC006261)
Source: RNAcentral
CCUUUCCUUGAACUCAUUUGUAUGAUGGUUUCCCUUUAUUACAUCUUGAUCUCAGAAGUUUAUCCAUGACUCGGCCUUCUUGCACUACCCACCUGAUGUGAGACUGGAAUCAAGGGGGUAGAAUACCUUUUGGAAUUGAUAAACAUGUCAUUACAUUUACAUAUUCAUUGUCAUAUCUUGCAUAACAGGUACCGCUGCGGUGUUCUCAUAUUGUUUGGUGUUCCACUAGCAGGAUAGCUGACUCAGGCAUUCACCGAUACGGUACCCGGAGGAAUCAACAGAGAGCAAUGGAAGGUGUACAAGCAGAGCUCGCUGAGAUGAGGGCCCGCAUGACCCAAUUCAUGGAUGUGGUUCAAGGGGUGGCUCAGGGACAACAAGAGCUCAGGCAGAU